UGGGGAAUAUUGCACAAUGGACGAAAGUCUGAUGCAGCAACGCCGCGUGGAGGAUGACACAUUUCGGUGCGUAAACUCCUUUUAUAUGAGAAGAUAAUGACGGUAUUAUAUGAAUAAGCACCGGCUAACUCCGUGCCAGCAGCCGCGGUAAUACGGGGGGUGCAAGCGUUACUCGGAAUCACUGGGCGUAAAGAGCAUGUAGGCGGAUUGAUAAGUUUGAAGUGAAAUCCUAUAGCUUAACUAUAGAACUGCUUUGAAAACUGUUAAUCUAGAAUGUGGGAGAGGUAGAUGGAAUUUCUGGUGUAGGGGUAAAAUCCGUAGAGAUCAGAAGGAAUACCGAUUGCGAAGGCGAUCUACUGGAACAUUAUUGACGCUGAGAUGCGAAAGCGUGGGGAGCAAAC
RNAcentral lists this ribosomal RNA (401 nucleotides) under uncultured Arcobacter sp. RNAcentral describes it as "bacterial SSU rRNA". It matches the Rfam family "Bacterial small subunit ribosomal RNA", at positions 355 to 773 of the family's 1533-position model. Lineage: Bacteria; Pseudomonadati; Campylobacterota; Epsilonproteobacteria; Campylobacterales; Arcobacteraceae. The record is from RNAcentral.